This 120-nucleotide ribosomal RNA is filed under the name uncultured bacterium. RNAcentral's name for it is "partial 16S ribosomal RNA". It matches the Rfam family "Bacterial small subunit ribosomal RNA", at positions 1367 to 1482 of the family's 1533-position model. The record is from RNAcentral.
UACGUUCCCGGGCCUUGUACACACCGCCCGUCACACCACCCGAGUUGGGGAUACCCGAAACCGCUAGACUAACCUGCAAGGGGGGGUCGGCGUCUAAGGAAUGCCUGGUGGAGGGGGGUG